Long non-coding RNA from Oncorhynchus keta (chum salmon), 1237 nucleotides. RefSeq lists it as uncharacterized. NCBI's taxonomy places the organism in Eukaryota, Metazoa, Chordata, Actinopteri, Salmoniformes, Salmonidae. The record is from RefSeq and is a predicted model, not a curated record. The transcript has 3 exons.
UGCUCUAUUUCUAUACACACAGGUGUACACACACACACAAUCACCUCAUUUCUGACUCAAAGUUGGGCAAGUUUCAUAAAUGAGCUUCUGCGACAGUGAAAUCACACUGCUUCAUCAUGGUAACAAUUGGAGCCCCUCAGUUCUAUGUUUUAUCACUGUUUAUACUUUUGAGCUGAAUCUCACAGAAAACCCUGGUGAUUUGGAAAAAAUGUUGGGUUGUGGGUUGUGUGUAGUACACCUGUGUGUACAGGUUGUGUGUUACAGUAGGGUGUACAGGUUGUGUGUUACAGUAGGGUGUACAGGUUGUGUGUUACAGUAGGGUGUACAGGUUGUGUGUUACAGUAGGGUGUACAGGUUGUGUGUUACAGUAGGGUGUACAGGUUGUGUGUUACAGUAGGGUGUACAGGUUGUGUGUUACAGUAGGGUGUACAGGUUGUGUGUUACAGUAGGGUGUACAGGUUGUGUGUUACAGUAGGGUGUACAGGUUGUGUGUUACAGUAGGGUGUACAGGUUGUGUGUUACAGUAGGGUGUACAGGUUGUGUGUUACAGUAGGGUAUACAGGUUGUGUGUUACAGUAGGGUGUACAGGUUGUGUGUUACAGUAGGGUGGAGUAGGAAUGCAGUUAGUCACUGGGGGUGAAGAGUAAAGUGACAGUCAUGGUCUCGCCCAUCUCUCCACCCCUUUUUACAGCACAAAGCAGAGAAAUGAAAUAAUGUUUUUAGGCCUGUAAUUCAGGAUUAUGUGCUGCUCAUUUCGACAGCCUUCUGUUUGCAUAGCUGAAGAAACGGCUCUGCAGUGACAAUUCCUAUUGUGUGAUAGACAUUCCUUUUAUUCAAGCACCUGUCUUAAUACUGUAGUGUUUGUGCUCCUCUUUACCACGGGUACACUACAGAGACCCAUGCACCAUGUAAAUAGCCUGUGCUACAAAGCAGAUUCCAUUCAGAGACAAGGCUGCCCUCCCCUCCCCCAAUGAGCCCUCCCUGUCCUCCCCUCCCCCAAUGUGCCCUCCCAGUCCUGUCCUCCCCCAAUGAGCCCUCCCAGUCCUGUCCUCCCCCAAUGAGCCCUCCCUGUCCUGUCCUCCCCCAAUGAGCCCUCCCAGUCCUGUCCUCCCCCAAUGAGCCCUCCCAGUCCUGUCCUCCCCCAAUGAGCCCUCCCUGUCCUGUCCUCCCCCAAUGAGCCCUCCCAGUCCUGUCCUCCCCCAAUGAGCCCUCCCUGUCCUCCCCUCCCCCAAUGAGC